GAUGAACGCUGGCGGCGUGCCUAAUACAUGCAAGUCGAGCGAACGGACGAGAAGCUUGCUUCUCUGAUGUUAGCGGCGGACGGGUGAGUAACACGUGGAUAACCUACCUAUAAGACUGGGAUAACUUCGGGAAACCGGAGCUAAUACCGGAUGAUAUUUUGAACCGCAUGGUUCAAAAGUGAAAGACGGUCUUGCUGUCACUUAUAGAUGGAUCCGCGCUGCAUCAGCUAGUUGGUAAGGUAACGGCUUACCAAGGCAACGAUGCAUAGCCGACCUGAGAGGGUGAGCGGCCACACUGGAACUGAGACACGGUCCAGAAUCCUACGGGAGGGAGAAGGAGGGAAUCUUCAGGAAUGGGAGAAAGCAUGACGGAGCAACGCCGCGUGAGUGAGGAAGGUCUUCGGAUCGUAAAACUCUGUUAUUAGGGAAGAACAUAUGUGUAAGUAACUGGGCAGAUAGUGACGGUACAUAAUCAGAAAGCCACGGCUAACUACGUG
RNAcentral lists this ribosomal RNA (497 nucleotides) under uncultured bacterium. RNAcentral describes it as "partial 16S ribosomal RNA". It matches the Rfam family "Bacterial small subunit ribosomal RNA", at positions 28 to 507 of the family's 1533-position model. The record is from RNAcentral.